RNAcentral lists this non-coding RNA (28 nucleotides) under Bombyx mori (domestic silkworm). Lineage: Eukaryota; Metazoa; Arthropoda; Insecta; Lepidoptera; Bombycidae. The record is from RNAcentral.
UCUUCGCUCCGACAGUGACUGGUGAUGC